RNAcentral lists this ribosomal RNA (580 nucleotides) under uncultured Alphaproteobacteria bacterium. RNAcentral's name for it is "bacterial SSU rRNA". It matches the Rfam family "Bacterial small subunit ribosomal RNA", at positions 900 to 1504 of the family's 1533-position model. The record is from RNAcentral. Lineage: Bacteria; Pseudomonadati; Pseudomonadota; Alphaproteobacteria.
CUCAAAGGAAUUGACGGGGGCCCGCACAAGCGGUGGAGCAUGUGAUUUAAUUCGAAGCAACGCGCAGAACCUUACCAACCCUUGACAUCCUCGGACCGCCAGAGAGAUCUGGCUUUCACUUCGGUGACCGAGUGACAGGUGCUGCAUGGCUGUCGUCAGCUCGUGUCGUGAGAUGUUCGGUUAAGUCCGGCAACGAGCGCAACCCACAUCCUUAGUUGCCAGCAGUUCGGCUGGGCACUCUAGGGAAACUGCCCGUGAUAAGCGGGAGGAAGGUGUGGAUGACGUCAAGUCCUCAUGGCCCUUACGGGUUGGGCUACACACGUGCUACAAUGGCAGUGACAAUGGGUUAAUCCCAAAAAACUGUCUCAGUUCGGAUUGGGGUCUGCAACUCGACCCCAUGAAGUCGGAAUCGCUAGUAAUCGCGUAACAGCAUGACGCGGUGAAUACGUUCCCGGGCCUUGUACACACCGCCCGUCACACCAUGGGAGUUGGGUUUACCCGAAGGCCGUGCGCUAACUUUUGAGGCAGCGGACCACGGUGAGCUCAGCGACUGGGGUGAAGUCGUAACAAGGUAGCCGUA